RNAcentral lists this ribosomal RNA (465 nucleotides) under Vreelandella stevensii. Its description in RNAcentral is "partial 16S ribosomal RNA". It matches the Rfam family "Bacterial small subunit ribosomal RNA", at positions 338 to 795 of the family's 1533-position model. The record is from RNAcentral. Lineage: Bacteria; Pseudomonadati; Pseudomonadota; Gammaproteobacteria; Oceanospirillales; Halomonadaceae.
CCUACGGGGGGCAGCAGUGGGGAAUAUUGGACAAUGGGCGAAAGCCUGAUCCAGCCAUGCCGCGUGUGUGAAGAAGGCCUUCGGGUUGUAAAGCACUUUCAGUGGGGAAGAAAGCCUUGGGGCUAAUACCCUCGAGGAAGGACAUCACCCACAGAAGAAGCACCGGCUAACUCCGUGCCAGCAGCCGCGGUAAUACGGAGGGUGCGAGCGUUAAUCGGAAUUACUGGGCGUAAAGCGCGCGUAGGCGGUCUGAUAAGCCGGUUGUGAAAGCCCCGGGCUCAACCUGGGAACUGCAUCCGGAACUGUCAGGCUAGAGUGCAGGAGAGGAAGGUAGAAUUCCCGGUGUAGCGGUGAAAUGCGUAGAGAUCGGGAGGAAUACCAGUGGCGAAGGCGGCCUUCUGGACUGACACUGACGCUGAGGUGCGAAAGCGUGGGUAGCAAACAGGAUUAGAUACCCGGGUAGUC